CUACGUGCCAGCAGCCGCGGUAAUACGGAGGAUGCGAGCGUUAUCCGGAUUUAUUGGGUUUAAAGGGUGCGUAGGUUGUUCGGUAAGUCAGCGGUGAAACCUGAGCGCUCAACGUUCAGCCUGCCGUUGAAACUGCCGGGCUUGAGUUCAGUGGCGGCAGGCGGAAUUCGUGGUGUAGCGGUGAAAUGCAUAGAUAUCACGAGGAACUCCGAUUGCGAAGGCAGCUUGCCAUACUGCGACUGACACUGAAGCACGAAGGCGUGGGUAUCAAACAGGAUUAGAUACCCUGGUAGUCCACGCAGUAAACGAUGAUUGCUAGGUGUUAGACCCUUUCCGGGGUUUAGUGCCGUAGCUAACGCGUUAAGUGCCCCACCUGGGGAGUACGGCCGCAAGGCUGAAACUCAAAGGAAUUGACGGGGGCCCGCACAAGCGGAGGAACAUGUGGUUUAAUUCGAAGCAACGCGAAGAACCUUACCAGGUCUUGACAUCCCUCUGACCGCUCUAGAGAUAGAGUUUUC
This 518-nucleotide ribosomal RNA is filed under the name uncultured bacterium. Its description in RNAcentral is "bacterial SSU rRNA". It matches the Rfam family "Bacterial small subunit ribosomal RNA", at positions 501 to 1016 of the family's 1533-position model. The record is from RNAcentral.